This 86-nucleotide transfer RNA is filed under the name Alphaproteobacteria bacterium. Its description in RNAcentral is "tRNA-Leu". It matches the Rfam family "tRNA". From Rfam's summary of the family: Transfer RNA (tRNA) molecules are approximately 80 nucleotides in length. Lineage: Bacteria; Pseudomonadati; Pseudomonadota; Alphaproteobacteria. The record is from RNAcentral.
GCGGGCGUGGCGGAAUGGUAGACGCAACGGACUUAAAAUCCGUUUUCCGCAAGGAAGUGUGGGUUCGAGUCCCACCGCCCGCACCA